GUUCCUUUGUGAUCAUCAUCACUGUGUGUGUCUGUGUGGCUCUGCUGCUGAUUGGAGGAUCAACUCUGAUCUACUACAAACUGAGACACUCUGCCCUUAGCUGCAGAAGAUCAGGAACAAAAAACGCAGAUGAUGUCGAUUAUGAAAAUUAUCCACAUGGAAAUCAGAAGAAGAUCAGUAUGGAUCCAAUCUACGAGAACAUAGACUUUAAAAACAGCGAGUUAGAUUUACUUUACGCAAGUAUAAACCCCAUACCAAGCAAAGAGAUUUAGACUACCAGCGUCUAAACCCCAACACAACAUUCAGCCUAUCAGAAUCUAAACCCCAAAACCAACCAAUCAAAUUCAGUCUAAAUGAGUCUAAAACUCAACACCAACCAAACAGAUUCAGUCUACCAGCAUCUAAACCCCAACACCAAACAAUCAGAUUCAGUCUAUCAGCAUCUAAACCCCAACACCAACCAAACAGAUUCAGUCUAAAUGAGUCUAAACCUCAACACCAACCAAACAGAUUCAGUCUACCAGCAUCUAAACCCCAACACCAACCAAUCAGAUUCAGUCUACCAGGCAUCUAAACCCCAACACCAACCAAUCAGAUUCAGUCUACUGGAGUCUAAACCCCAACUCCAACUAAUCUGAUUGGUUCUACUAAAGACAAAUUAUUUAGAGCCAAUCUAGUAAAAACUAAACCUGAAACACAAUCAGCCACAUUCAGUCUACGACUUUAGUUCCAAAUAAUCAGAUUCAUUUGAUCAAAUCUUUCAUUUCUCUCAGGGUGUACUGGACAUGUUUUAUACCAUUCUGUUGGUUUAUGUGGUAUUGUAAUUGUAGCUAAUAUAUAUUUAUAUCCAGAAUUAUGGAGAAUAAUUUCAUAACUGUACUAAUGCUUUACUCUUUUUUGUACUGACACCAAAUAAAAACCGGAAGAACUACUUACGAGUUAAUGUAUGUUUGCAAAAAUAACC
Molecule: long non-coding RNA, 964 nt
Organism: Pygocentrus nattereri (red-bellied piranha)
Lineage: Eukaryota; Metazoa; Chordata; Actinopteri; Characiformes; Serrasalmidae
Exons: 3
Source: RefSeq, a predicted model, not a curated record